RNAcentral lists this ribosomal RNA (396 nucleotides) under uncultured bacterium. Its description in RNAcentral is "bacterial SSU rRNA". It matches the Rfam family "Bacterial small subunit ribosomal RNA", at positions 30 to 422 of the family's 1533-position model. The record is from RNAcentral.
AGUGAACGCUGGCGGCAGGCCUAAUACAUGCAAGUCGAACGGCAGCACAGCAGAGCUUGCUCUGUGGGUGGCGAGUGGCGGACGGGUGAGGAAUACGUGGGAAUCUGCCCAGUCGUGGGGAUAACGUAGGGAAACUUACGCUAAUACCGCAUGCGCCCUUCGGGGAAAGCCGGGGACCUUCGGGCCUGGCGCGAUUGGAUGAGCCCACGUCGGAUUAGCUAGUUGGCGGGGUAAAGGCCCACCAAGGCGACGAUCCGUAGCUGGUCUGAGAGGAUGAUCAGCCACACUGGAACUGAGACACGGUCCAGACUCCUACGGGAGGCAGCAGUAGGGAAUAUUGGACAAUGGGCGCAAGCCUGAUCCAGCCAUGCCGCGUGAGUGAAGAAGGCCCUCGGG